GCCUGUGGUCGUACCACCCUGAAUGUGCCUGAUCUCAUCUGCUUUCAGAAACUAAACAGGGUCAGGCCUGGUUAGUAAUUGGAUGGGAGAAAUGCAGUCUCAGGACCCACUGUGGACU
This 118-nucleotide ribosomal RNA is filed under the name Microcebus murinus (gray mouse lemur). The record is from RNAcentral. Lineage: Eukaryota; Metazoa; Chordata; Mammalia; Primates; Cheirogaleidae.